AUUGAACGCUGGCGGCAUGCUUUACACAUGCAAGUCGAACGGUAACAGCACUUCGGUGGCUGACGAGUGGCGAACGGGUGAGUAAUACAUCGGAACGUGCCUAGUAGUGGGGGAUAACUACUCGAAAGAGUAGCUAAUACCGCAUGAGAUCUAAGGAUGAAAGCAGGGGACCUUCGGGCCUUGCGCUACUAGAGCGGCUGAUGGCAGAUUAGGUAGUUGGUGGGAUAAAAGCUUACCAAGCCGACGAUCUGUAGCUGGUCUGAGAGGACGACCAGCCACACUGGGACUGAGACACGGCCCAGACUCCUACGGGAGGCAGCAGUGGGGAAUGUUGGACAAUGGGCGCAAGCCUGAUCCAGCAAUGCCGCGUGCAGGAUGAAGGCCUUCGGGUUGUAAACUGCUUUUGUACGGAACGAAAAGCCCUCUUCUAAUACAGGAGGGUCAUGACGGUACCGUAAGAAUAAGCACCGGCUAACUACGUG
This 482-nucleotide ribosomal RNA is filed under the name uncultured bacterium. Its description in RNAcentral is "partial 16S ribosomal RNA". It matches the Rfam family "Bacterial small subunit ribosomal RNA", at positions 30 to 507 of the family's 1533-position model. The record is from RNAcentral.